GUGUUGAAAUGUAGCUGUUUAAGGUCAUAUGAAUACAAUGUAGUGACACAGUCUGAGUUGAUUGUAGGACAUUUUGUUAACCCCGUGCUGGAUUGGAACCUACCUGGAGGCGCCCCUCUGCGGCUGGUUGGUCCUCUACAGAUAUCCGUGGCUGGCCGAUUGGAGAAGAACGAGGUUGUCUAUCGUAUCGUCGGACAUUCCUAGAAGAAAACCUCACUUCAAACACUUACACAUGGUUAUCAUGGAAAUAGAGACUUUCAUGUUUGUCUUCAUCUCUGUGGAAACGUCAUUAAAACUUGUUGACUGAACUCCUGGAUAGCUGCCCCCUGGACCCUAAACUUAAACCCACAAGGCGAGUCCAGAAUGUGAUGGGUCCCUCAAGAUGGGGUCAUGGAGCUUCAGAACAGCUGCUGAUUGCCACUGACGAGAGACACCUGGACCUAAUCAGAGUGGAGACCUGCACACCACGCCUCCUCCAGACCCUGCAGCACUGAACUAACACACACAUCAUGAAUACUAAACCAUAACAAGAGUCCACACCAUGACCAAUACUUCACUUUGAGUCCACACAGAGCUGAGUUUAACACAUACUGGACUCUGAAUAUUUUCAAAUGAGCCCCCUCAUUGACACAUUUAGGUGGGUGGAUGACAUAAGUGUACAACCUGGGCCUUAGGUUGGCUGCUGCAAAGGAAUGGUUGAUGAACCUUCCAACAGUCUCUCGUUCAGGGUGGCACUCACAAAGAGCUGAAUGUGCAUCGAUGCACAUGGGCUGUCCUUUUCUGUUCCUGUAGAAGAACAUGUCUCCAGUCUCCUCCUCACUGGUGUUCAUGUCAAUGUCCUCGCCCUCUUUAACUGAGAUGACCCGCCCAUGUA
Molecule: long non-coding RNA, 874 nt
Organism: Notolabrus celidotus (New Zealand spotty)
Lineage: Eukaryota; Metazoa; Chordata; Actinopteri; Labriformes; Labridae
Exons: 3
Source: RefSeq, a predicted model, not a curated record